CCAUGAGCAUUUCAAAAUGCUAACUUAUAUUUAUAUAUAUAUUUUUUUUUCCUAGAUUAUUAUGUACCCUCUAAACCAAGAUGUUCAAUUCAAAAAGAGAAAGGAACAGAAAAAGGAAGAAAGAAAAAAAAUACUGACUUCUUACUGAGAGGUUAUACAGCAUUUGAAAUUCAAAAGGAAGGUGUUACCUGCUAUCUUGCAUAAAUCUCUAACAAUUGCAAAUGGAAUAUAUUAUCGUCAGAUCCGAUUGCUUAUAUCCAAUCUUGCCUAGUCUCAGCAUUUGUAAAGUGCACCCAAGUGCUUUGCUGGUGUACAGACAGACCCUAUUCCAAAAUUACCAAUAUCAUUCUCAAUGACCAGUUGAGCCCAUUUAGAGUGAAGGUAAGAUUUUUCAAGUAUCCGGAUUUGGUCCUUGUCCUUGAUUCCUGGGCAUAUGUGUCCAGUGGUUAAUCUAUCGAAAGUGCUGAGUUUGAUGGCUCUGAGCUCCCUGUGUUUUACCUGGCCAUUCUGUGGCCUGAGUAUCUUACCUGUUUUCUCCUCUACAGACAGAAAACACAGGAUUCAAAGCAAAAACAGGUUUCUUCAUCCCUUUCUUUCACUUGGCUGGUUCACUACAUAGGGAAGGAAAAACAAAGUGUUUUGUCCCCUAUUACACUCUCAUUCAAUACAACAUGGGCACUUCUGGCACCAGAGGUCUGUUUCAUUUGUUUUCUUCCCCGCACAUCAGUUCUCCAGCAGGUAUCAACUGGAUGUCCUAAGAUGAAGUUCACUUCUGACACGAAUCAGAGUCAGUGUAGACCCCACAGCUUCAGGACUCAGUCUCACAAGAUUGCCUUCCUCUUUGGAUGCUGAUCUCAGGUCCCAGGUUGUGACCGGUGCUUCUCAUCAACUGGCUAUAAAUUGAGUUCACAGAAUGGCUGGGUGGAUGAACUCAAGCUAUCAGAACCAGCGAUCAGCCAUAGUGUGGACACUGGAUAUGAUCCCUCCCUGUGCAGUGAGUGCUCCUGCUCCUACUGUGUGUCUCCAUGUUACCUCAGACGGCAUCUGCAUCCUGGUGAAGGCCAAGCAGGUAUUCCUUGAUGCUUCUACCACCCAGCCGGUGAAGGACAGAACAGCCACAAAAGGUACAAAGAAACUAGUUUGGGGCUCUCUUUUUAUUCUCAGAAAGCACAUAAGUGUCUUUGGAAAACCUCCUCAUCUUCCUAGAACUGAUCCAACUCCAAUAUAUUUAUUGCCAAUGAAACAAAGAGUAUCAAUA
Ictidomys tridecemlineatus (thirteen-lined ground squirrel) is the source of this 1258-nucleotide non-coding RNA. NCBI's taxonomy places the organism in Eukaryota, Metazoa, Chordata, Mammalia, Rodentia, Sciuridae. The record is from RefSeq and is a predicted model, not a curated record.